RNAcentral lists this ribosomal RNA (483 nucleotides) under uncultured bacterium. RNAcentral's name for it is "partial 16S ribosomal RNA". It matches the Rfam family "Bacterial small subunit ribosomal RNA", at positions 28 to 523 of the family's 1533-position model. The record is from RNAcentral.
GACGAACGCUGGCGGCGCGCUUAACACAUGCAAGUCGAACGGUAAGGCCCCUUCGGGGGUACACGAGUGGCGAACGGGUGAGUAACACGUGAGCAACCUGCCCUUGACUCUGGGAUAACAGUUGGAAACAGCUGCUAAUACCGGAUACGACAUUCGAUGACAUCAUCUGGAGGUGGAAAGCGCUUUAGCGGUCAACGAUGGGCUCGCGGCCUAACAGCUUGUUGGUGAGGUAACGGCUCACCAAGGCUUCGACGGGUAGCCGGCCUGAGAGGGCGACCGGCCACACUGGGACUGAGAUACGGCCCAGACUCCUACGGGAGGCAGCAGUGGGGAAUAUUGCACAAUGGGCGCAAGCCUGAUGCAGCAACGCCGCGUGCGGGAUGACGGCCUUCGGGUUGUAAACCGCUUUCAGUUCCGACGAAGCGCAAGUGACGGUAGGAACAGAAGAAGGACCGGCCAACUACGUGCCAGCAGCCGCAGUAA